RNAcentral lists this ribosomal RNA (253 nucleotides) under uncultured bacterium. RNAcentral describes it as "partial 16S ribosomal RNA". It matches the Rfam family "Bacterial small subunit ribosomal RNA", at positions 524 to 776 of the family's 1533-position model. The record is from RNAcentral.
UACGGGGGGAGCAAGCGUUGUUCGGAUUUACUGGGCGUAAAGGGCGCGUAGGCGGCGUGGUAAGUCACUUGUGAAAUCUCCGAGCUUAACUCGGAACGGUCAAGUGAUACUGCUGUGCUAGAGUGCGGAAGGGGCAACUUGAAUUCUCGGUGUAGCGGUGAAAUGCGUAGAUAUCGAGAGGAACACCUGCGGCGAAGGCGGGUAGCUGGGCCGACACUGACGCUGAGGCGCGAAAGCUAGGGGAGCGAACGGG